GGAUGUGAGGGCAAUCUGGCUGCAACAUCUGUCACCCCAUUGAUUGCCAGGGUUGAUUCGGCUGAUCUGGCUGGCUAGGUGGGUGUCCCCUUCCUCCCUCACCACUCCAUGUGCAUCCCUCCCGAAGCUGCGCACUUGGUCAAAGAGGACGACCAUUCCCGAUAGAGGAGGCCCGUGCUUUGGUCAAGGGUAUAGGAGUAGCUGCACUCCCCUGCUAGAACCUCCAAACAAGCUCUCAAGAAUGGCUUAUGUUGGGAACCAGCAGUUAGUGUAAUGGCUAUGUCGCUGGACUCCCAUGUAGUUGAUUGCGGUUCACG
RNAcentral lists this small nuclear RNA (317 nucleotides) under Tupaia belangeri chinensis (Chinese tree shrew). RNAcentral describes it as "Tupaia chinensis (Chinese tree shrew) 7SK RNA". It matches the Rfam family "7SK RNA". Rfam says of the family: 7SK was discovered as an abundant small nuclear RNA in the mid-70s but a possible function has only recently been suggested. Two independent studies have found that 7SK RNA binds the CDK9/cyclin T complex (known as elongation factor P-TEFb). P-TEFb activates transcription by phosphorylating the C-terminal domain of RNA polymerase II. The record is from Rfam by way of RNAcentral. Lineage: Eukaryota; Metazoa; Chordata; Mammalia; Scandentia; Tupaiidae.